This 497-nucleotide ribosomal RNA is filed under the name uncultured bacterium. RNAcentral describes it as "partial 16S ribosomal RNA". It matches the Rfam family "Bacterial small subunit ribosomal RNA", at positions 28 to 507 of the family's 1533-position model. The record is from RNAcentral.
GAUGAACGCUGGCGGCGUGCCUAAUACAUGCAAGUCGAACGGACAGACGAGGUGCUUGCUCCUCUGACGUUAGCGGCGGACGGGACAGUAAAACGUGGAUACCCUACCUAUAAGACUGGGAUAACUUCGGGAAACCGGAACUAAUACCGGAUAAUAUAUUGAACCGCAUGGUUCGAUAGUUCAAGACGGUUUUGCUGUCACUUCUAGCUGGAUCCGGGCCGCAUUAGCUAUUUGGUACGGUAACGGCUUCCCAUGGCCGCGAUGGGUAGCCGACCCGAGAGGGGGAUCGGCGACACUGGAAGUGAGACGCGGUCAAGAGGCCUAAGGGAGGCAGCAGUAGCGAAGGGGCGGCAAUGGGGGAAAGACUGACGGAGCAACGCAGGGCGGAUGAAGAAGGGCUGCGGAUCGGAAAACUGUGUUAUGAGUGAAGAACAAAUUUGUAAGGAACGAAGCACGUCGUGACGGUACCUACACAGAAAGCAACGGCUAACUACGUG